This 1078-nucleotide long non-coding RNA is filed under the name Vigna radiata. RNAcentral describes it as "long non-coding RNA (VRAD_LNC001835)". Lineage: Eukaryota; Viridiplantae; Streptophyta; Magnoliopsida; Fabales; Fabaceae. The record is from RNAcentral.
UAUCUCUAAUAACAGACCCUUGACUGCCCUAAGUGCUUCAUUCCUAUUCUGCGUUUUCUUUGGACUUUCUCUUAUCAGGUCCAAGAUUUCUUGAUGUCUCUAUCUAAUCUCCUCUCUCAAUUCUUCCACAGACCUUUCCAAUGUGCUCAUUCUUCCUUCCAUGAUUUUUCCUCUCCAAGAUCUAGCAGGUCGGACCAAUUGUUAGAUUUCUUGAAACAAGAAAUCUAAAAACACACACUUGACAACACUAAACACACAAAAACACUGAAACAACCUUGUAUUAUUAUUCUUGUAAGAAAAUAAUACAAAGAAUACAAUUUGAACACUUCCAAGGGAAUUGUCUCCCCUCACACAGGAAUACUAAUGUCCUGUCACUCAGAUACAAUUCACUCAACAGCCCCCCUCCAGACAAACCUUUUCCUAUUUAAAGACUCCUCCUCCUCUCAACAAAACACCCCACCAGAACAGUUAUCCUCCCCCUGCUUCCUAAUUGUCCUAACAGACCCCAACUGAUUAUGCUUUAUUUUUUACUCUUUUCUUCCUUUCAUAAACUCUCCAGAUCCUAUCAAGAAUUGAUAUCCCAAAUGUGAUAAUAUAUACUUAUAAGUAGUCUAACCAUGAUCUGAUAACGACCCUAAUAACAUGUGGCACAAUAGAUCCAACAAAGCUCACAAGGAUAGACUUUGAUACCAUCUUAGAAAAUGACCCUAACUCAACCUCAAAAUUGGAUGAAGUUUGCAGUUAUUUAUACAAUAUAAUAUAGACAAAUGUCUAGUCGAUGUGGGAUCCCAACAUUGUUGAAUGGGGAAGACAUAAAGGUGACAAACAUUUGAAUUAGAACUAACAAACAUGAGCACCCACUAAUCUGAUACAGUCUUAGAAAAUGACCCUAACUCAACCUCAAAAUUGGAUGAGAUUUGCACUCACUUAUAUAAUAUAACUAAGUCAAAUGCCUAGUCAAUGUGGGAUCUUCAACAUUGUUGAACGGGGAUGAUAUAAACAAAACAAACAUUUGAAUUAGAAGUAACAAGCAUGAACAACCAUUGAGUAGUUAUACGGGUAGAGUUCAAAGACAAAC